GACGAACGCUGGCGGCGCGCCUAACACAUGCAAGUCGAACGAGCGAGAGAGAGCUUGCUUUCUCGAGCGAGUGGCGAACGGGUGAGUAACGCGUGAGGAACCUGCCUCAAAGAGGGGGACAACAGUUGGAAACGACUGCUAAUACCGCAUAAGCCCACGACCCGGCAUCGGGUUGAGGGAAAGGGAGCAAUCCGCUUUGAGAUGGCCUCGCGUCCGAUUAGCUAGUUGGUGAGGUAACGGCCCACCAAGGCAACGAUCGGUAGCCGGACUGAGAGGUUGAACGGCCACAUUGGGACUGAGACACGGCCCAGACUCCUACGGGAGGCAGCAGUGGGGAAUAUUGCACAAUGGGGGAAACCCUGAUGCAGCGACGCCGCGUGGAGGAAGAAGGUCUUCGGAUUGUAAACUCCUGUUGUUGAGGAAGAUAAUGACGGUACUCAACAAGGAAGUGACGGCUAACUACGUGCCAGCAGCCGCGGUAAAACGUAGGUCACAAGCGUUGUCCGGAAUUACUGGGUGUAAAGGGAGCGCAGGCGGGAAGACAAGUUGGAAGUGAAGUCUAUGGGCUCAACCCAUAAACUGCUUUCAAAACUGUUUUUCUUGAGUAGUGCAGAGGUAGGCGGAAUUCCCGGUGUAGCGGUGGAAUGCGUAGAUAUCGGGAGGAACACCAGUGGCGAAGGCGGCCUACUGGGCACCAACUGACGCUGAGGCUCGAAAGUGUGGGUAGCAAACAGG
This 735-nucleotide ribosomal RNA is filed under the name uncultured bacterium. Its description in RNAcentral is "bacterial SSU rRNA". It matches the Rfam family "Bacterial small subunit ribosomal RNA", at positions 28 to 776 of the family's 1533-position model. The record is from RNAcentral.